CGCAAGCCUGACGGAGCAACGCCGCGUGAGGGAGGAAGGCCUGUGGGUUGUAAACCUCUUUUCUCUGGGAAGAAGACCUGACGGUACCAGAGGAAUCAGCAUCGGCUAACUCCGUGCCAGCAGCCGCGGUAAGACGGAGGAUGCAAGCGUUAUCCGGAAUUAUUGGGCGUAAAGCGUCCGCAGGCGGCCAAUUAAGUCUGCUGUCAAAGCCUAGGGCUCAACCCUAGAUCGGCAGUGGAAACUGGUUGGCUAGAGUACGGUAGGGGUAGAGGGAAUUCCCAGUGUAGCGGUGAAAUGCAUAGAUAUUGGAAAGAACACCGAUGGCGAAGGCACUUUACUGGGCUAUUACUGACACUGAGAGACGAAAGCUAGGGUAGCA
This 379-nucleotide ribosomal RNA is filed under the name uncultured cyanobacterium. RNAcentral describes it as "bacterial SSU rRNA". It matches the Rfam family "Bacterial small subunit ribosomal RNA", at positions 376 to 770 of the family's 1533-position model. The record is from RNAcentral. Lineage: Bacteria; Bacillati; Cyanobacteriota.